This 26843-nucleotide long non-coding RNA is filed under the name Capsicum annuum. RNAcentral describes it as "long non-coding RNA (CANN_LNC022125)". Lineage: Eukaryota; Viridiplantae; Streptophyta; Magnoliopsida; Solanales; Solanaceae. The record is from RNAcentral.
AAAAAACCAUCAGAUUUCUCACUGUCUCUCUAAAAAUCCUUCUCCUCUCUCACUUUCUUUCUCUCCCAAAAACUACCGCCUCAUUUGCUUCAUUUUUGGCCGACGAAACUCGUCGGAUUCCGGCGACCACCAACAACUUCGGCCAAACUCAUCAGCCGUACCCCAUUCCCACUCUCUCAUCUCCCUUUCUCUCCCUCAAACUCUCCUCCACUGCUUCUUCAUCUGGCCGGCGAAAUUCGCCGCCAGUCACGACAACAACACUCUCCCCAUGCUGUAAACUUCCCAUCUCCCUCUUCCCCCUCUCUUUCCGUUUCCUUUCGCCGGAGGUGGUGACCGACAAGCUUUGGCUGAACCACCAUGACAUCACUGAUCCUUUUCCCUUUCGCCUUUCCGCUUCCUUUUCACCGGAUGUGGUGACCGACGAAACCACCGGCGAACAGAUCCAAAUCGGUGCACAACAAAACCUUUUUCCCUCUAUUUUUUCUUCUCUUUUAUAUCAUCGUUGUUCACAUUUAUUUUUGAAGAUUUGCUGUAUUUUUUCAUGAUUAUGGUUGGUUGAUUAUUUUUCUUAUAUUUUAUUUGAUUUUCCUAUAACUUAAUUAUUGCUUUGCCUUCAAUUUGCUCGUUCCUCACUUUUAUGCUUCUGUUAUAUUUGUUUGGAAUAGGUGCUUCUAUUGUUUUAUUUUUUCUUUGUUUGGAAUAGUUGGUGCUACUCCCUCCGUUUUAUAAUAAAUGUAUUGUUAGAGUAUUUUUUAAAGGAAUAGUUGGUGCUACUCCUUCCGUUUUAUAAUAAAUGUAUUGUUAGAGUAUUUUUUAUGUUUCAAAAUAAGUGAAUGAUUCACAAUUCAAGGUAGAUAUUGGGAAAUUUUUUCAAAUUUAUCCUUCAUUAAAUGUGCAUUGGAAGUGAUGUAUCAUGUGUCUUUGCUUUUUGAAGAAGGUAAAAAUAGAAAAACAUGAUAAAUUUAUGUCUUUGCUUUUUUUCUUAAUAUGUGUGUCAAAAUUGAACAAUUAAUGUAUUGUGAAACGGAGGGAGUAUUGUUUAUUUUUUUGUUUCUUUCCAUUAUUUUCAUGCUAGUUAAUUCAUUGGUUAUUACAUCCAACAAACACAAUUUUUUGUUUGGACUUUAUUGUCUCAAAGUUACUAUUUUAUAUUAAGAGCCGAUACUUGGCCGAUGAAGAAAUUCUCCGUCGAUUUUCGAGGCCUUUUUAAAUAAAAAGAUGGAUAUUACGUAUAUAGUUACGUAAUAAAAUUAAAUAUUUUGGGUGAUGGAAAAUUUUUUAUAACAACGCACAAAAGUUUUAUGAUUCGUAAAUUGACAAGACGAUUUAGGACGGUUACUAAAUUAGCAACCACUUCGUAGUCAUAUCAUAGUUAAAAUCUAAUUUUUUUUUUACAUAUAUGCACACAUACGUUCUCGAUUUAUUUUGAUAGUUGUUUAUUGAGUAAAUACAUAAUUACUCCUUUGAAGUUAGUCGAGAUUUUCAAAAGACACCUAAACUUUCAAUUCGACCUAUUACCCUACGAUUCUUCUUUAUUCCGUUGCAAGUAUACCAUUUUGGACAUCUGCGUGUAUACACGCGCCAUAGGUGCGUGAAAGGGUUCAAAUUUGACUUUUUGACCAAUUAAAAGCUGUCAUGUGUAAAUAAUUGAUAUAUAAUUUAUAUUCUUUUUUUGAAAUAAAAAAAUCAAUAUUUAUUUAUUUUUUAAAAUUAUUUCAUAAACCCAUCGAUCCACCAUUAUCUUCUUCCCCAACUUCUUCAUCAUCAUAACUCAAUAAUAUCAUCAAUUACAACAAUAACAUAAUCAAUAACAACAACAACAACAUCAAUUACAGUUGCACCAACAUCAAUUAAAGCAACAAACACAACAUCAUCAUCACCAUAAUUUUAAAAAGGAAAGUUAAUGCACAACCUCCUUUUUAAUGAAGCUUUAAGCUUCAUUUUAAUGGAGGAAAUUGGACGGGGGAUGGGAAAGGGAGAUGUUGGACGGAGUGGGGGUGGGAGUAGGAGGUGGGGUAGGGUCAUAAAUAUAAAAAAAAUGAAGCUUAAAGCUCCAUUAAAAUGGAGAUUGCACAGCAACUUUAAGCUUUAUUUUAAUGAAGGGAACUGAAGGGAAAUGGGGGAGGGAGAUGUUGGACGGGGUGGGAGUGGGGGUGAUUGGGUGAGGUGAGGUCAUAAAAUAUAAUAAAAAUGAAGCUUAAAGAUCCAUUAAAAUGGAGAUUGUACAGGAGCUUUAAGCUCCAUUUUAAUGGAGGGACUGGGCGCGGGGAGGUUGCUAGAUGAGGUGGGGUGGGGUGAUAAAUUAAAUAAAAAAAAUUUAUUUAAAAAAAUAAAUAAAAUAUGAAAUCAAAUAUAUUUAACACGUGGCAGCACCUGAUUGGUACGUAUGUUCACUCUCUUUCUUGUGAUUGAGAUUCAACGAAAAAUAGUGUAUUUGCAACGGAUUAAGUAAGAAUCGUGGGUAAUAAGUCGAAUUCAAAGUUUAGGUGUCUUUUUAAAAAUCUCGACCAACAUCAGCGGGGUAAUUAUGUAUUUACUCUUGUUUAUUUGUUACUAACAUUUUAUUACAACUGUUUGUACAGGUUCUCGGAAAUACUCGUCGGGAAUGAUAUUUAAAGAAGAGUUUGAAUUUUAUUAUAUUUGUAUUUUCUUUUAUUCUUAUCAUUAUACAAAUAUUAAUUAUAGUGAAAUCUUUAUUUUUGGGGCGUUUGGUGGGGAUGUUCUUUAUUUAUACAAUUUUUACUGCGUGUUAGACAAAUUUAGGUCGUUAAUAUUUAUAUUAAAAUUAAUUUAGAUAUUUAAUUACAUAAUUCACACUUUUUACACAAAAAAACAUUAUGUAAUUUUUUCUUUAAAAAUAAUUUCUUUUUUAUUCAAUCUUUGACUUUCUUUUUUAUAUAUCCUUACAUACGUUUGUUUAUACAUCUUUACGUGCGCUUAUACAUAUUUUGCAAUAACAUAUGUAUUAUAUUAUUUUUGUCUUUGCAGACAUUGAUUUUUAUUUUAUCUUUUAAUAAUAAACCUAAGUCUGGCCGGGAACCAUAUUUGUGGAUUCUGAAGGGUGCCUAAUCCCUUUCCUUCGGAAUAAUUUGAACCUUUACCUACAAUUUUAAUUGGUUCACAAAUUGAAAUAAAAAUCAUACUUGUUAAUAAAUAAGUAGGUUUUCGAUUUUUUCCUAAAAAUUAGGUGGGGACUCUGUAUCAAAAUAAUUAUUUUAAAGUUCAUAAUGUCGUGCUCAUUUUGACCUUAGGUAAAAAUCGGGUAUGACACCGAGAAAAUCUCACACCAGACUCCAUAUAGGUAGAGCCUCCAUAACUUCAAAGCAAACAUAGUCGCGCAGAACUCUAAAUCAUAGGUAGGUUAGUUCUCAUGAGGCUUCAACUGACUAGAUGCAUAAGUAAUUACCUUGCCUUUCUACAUAAACACAACAUCCAAUCCAACACUUGAAGCAUCACAAAACACGGUAAAGCCCACACCAACCUUGGGUAGAGCCAAAAUAGGAGCUAAAGUCAACAAAUACUUGAGCUAAGAAUAGUAAUGAGUAAUGAUUGGUUGGUAGAGGUCUUGAUGACCAUAAAUAAACUUGCAUCGUGUUGUAAACUAAGGACUUGGGCUUAUAUAUAUGAUUAAUGGCUAAUUGGGUUGGGAAAUACCAUGUGGUUGUCUAUGGUGUUGAUAUGUAGCCUUGGUGGGUAGAAUUACCUAAAUGGGUUCAAGCCCCUAAAUGUCGAAAUGUAUUGUAUGGAUGUUAAUGCAUGAUCUGAUGGGUUAAGAGUUCAAAUGUCAACUAAUGAUGGUAAUAAGAUGACUUGUGGUUAAAGUCCCUCGUCUAAUAACUUGUGGUUAAAGUCCCUUGUCUAAGGACUUGUGGUUAAAGCCCUUCGUCUAAUGACUUGUGGUUGGAAUCCCUUGCUUAAAGAUAUCUCUUGAGAUUAAAACACCUCAUCUUAUGAAUCAACAUGUGAUUAGAUUUCCAUGCCUGAUUGAAUGUGGGAUCAUGUGAUUAGAGUUCCAUGCCCGAUUGAAUGUGGGAGCAUGUGAUUAGAGUUUCAUGACCGAUUGAAUGUAGGAGCAUGUGAUUAGAGUUCCAUGCUCAAGUUAAUAUAUGGGCAUGUGAUUAGAGUUCCAUGCCCGAUUAAAUGUGUAAGCAUGUGGUAAAGUUCCAUGCCUAAUGAAUUGAUUAAAUAGGUAAAAUCGGUUAAAUUAGUUGAGUAGGUUUGAGGUUUGGAUCCUCUUGACUAAUGUAAUGAAGAAGUUCAAGGUUAUAAAAUUGGUAAGGUGGAAUAUUGAAAGUUCUUCACUCCAUGUCUCAUGAAUAAAUGAUUUGAGAAUGCAUGUUAUAGCUCAUUCCAUGUUUUGGCACAUUGUGUAACUAUAUGUCCAUGUAUAUUCAUAUAUGCCGAUACUUGUGUAAAUAUGAUUGCAUGUAAUGAUUUGAAUGGAUUGAACAAGUGCACUAUUUUAUCCUUAUCCUUGAGUUACAUGCUAGCACUCUAACCGCUAACUAUCUCCCGACGCUAUGUCCCCACGCGACAUAGGGGCCAAAGCAUCUUUUUAUUAUUCUAUGUAGUGAUCAGGUGUUCGAGUGGUUCGGGCAUUGACCUUGAAAUGGUGAGUUUUCAUACUCCAAAAGAUCUACCUUUCGUAGUAUUUUUAUCCUAUGUUAUAGACUUGUAUAGGUUUGGUACUUGGUUAUUGUCGGGGGCAUGUCCCAACACAUUAUUGACUUGGUUUGGUGGAGAUUUCGUUGAUGACUAUGGAAUUGGGUAUACUGGCUAGACUGUUGACCUUAAUGAAAUGUUAGAUAUUGUUGAAGUACUACCUAUUAUCUUUAUAUUUCCGAUAUAUUACUAUAAGGCUGGAAUUCACCCAACCAUUAUAGUUGUUGUGAUGACGAUUUCGUUAGGUUAUCGGGGCGACCUCCGAUUCAUGUUGACUUGAGGUUCCCAUACGACAUGGCCUAAUUUUGGGGCAUGUCAUGCGGUGGCUACCAUAAUAUCCAUGAGAAGCUCUGAAAUAUCUUCCAUAAGUAGAUGGACCUCUGAACUCAUAAAAAUGGCACACUUUCUUGGUGCCUCACUAAGAUGCCUGAAGAAUACCCUUAGUCAUCUUAGCCAGAUCUACAAUACUCUUAAAAAGAUGCCCCAAAUACGAGAAUCUGUGUAUAUCCAACUGAAGGGGGACAUCAAAACCCUUCAUAAACUUCUGAAUCUUCUUUGACUUGCUAGAAAUACUAGCAUAGGAAUAUCUGGACAAGGCAUAGAAGUGUGUCUCAUACUCAUCUACAGUUAUGGAGCCCUGAUCAAGAUGGUCAAACUUAUCACACAUCCGAUAUCUUAAACUAAAAGGCAUAAAUCUCUCCCGAAAGCCAUCAACAAACUGAUCACAUGAUAUCUUAGGAGCAUCAAUAAAUCUACAACCAACAACUGAUCUCCACCAAUAUCUAGCCACGUCUCUCAACUAAUAUAUAGUAUAAGCAACUCCAUGUGACUCCAAUGAACCUAAAUUAUGGAGCUUCUCCCAAUAAUAAAUCAAGAACUCAUAGGCAUCCUUGUCCACAACACCAAUGAACAUAGGAGGACCCAAAUAAGUAAAUCUCUCAAACCUCUUCUGAUCCUCAAAAGAUAUUACAGUACUCACAGUUAGAUAGGCAUAGUGAAUCUAGCAAGCUGAGAUCCUAUAUCAGAAGUUAACAUAGAUGAAGGUUGAACUCCCAAUCUCAGAAUACCAUGCUCAGAUGUCGGUGCUGAAAUAGGAAUAGGACUCAAGGUCUGAGGAGUACCCAAAAUAGGAGCAGGUGCAAUAGGAGAAUCCAAACUCCGAACUAGAGGAGCACCAAACAUAACUAAAGGAGAACCCUAUAAGUGGGACAACAAAUACAUCAAUAACACCUCCAAAACUGGGGCAGAUGAACUCUGAAUAGCUGGAGUAAAACCCAUAUAUCCAACCUACUCAAAACGAGGCUUGAGGGAGAGUCCCCUUACUCUUCUUCUAGACGGCGCUAAAAUACUGGCCAGUCCUCUCCCUCGAGUUUCUCUAUGGCUAGAGGGACGUCUUCUAGACCAAAAUCUCUCUGCAAAAGCAGGCUCCACAUCACUAACCUCGCGGGACCUAGUCAACACCAUCUGUGCAAAAAGAGUAAAAUAUAAUUGAGAACACAAGAUAUGAAAGAACAUCACAUGGUAAGGAAGGGAAUUAAAGAAAGUUUCCUAAAGACAUCCUAUAGCCUCUCGAAGAUAGAUACAGACGUCUAUGUAUCGAUCCGUGAGAUUUAUUAGAUAUUCCAUCCUUACACCAUUGAGAACAAUAAAACCUAGCUGCUCUAAUACCAAUUUGUCAUGGCCCAAAAUCCAUAGGUCUUGAUGGCACUUGUCACGGCGAACCUUGGCAAGUAUGCCUAUCACCCAAAUCAAUACACAUAAAAUAAAAAUACAAUAAUAACCCUAAGUCAAGGCUCCUAGAAGGAAGCUGAACUAUACAAGUAAAAUAAAUAUGGAAGGAAACAUAACAAUGUAGACAUAACUCCAAAAAAUUGGUGUGAACAAUAUAAGAACGUAUCUAGUACAACUCAAAUUCAAAUGAAAUACAUAAUAUAUCCAAAUACAAGAAAAACCUUAUCUCUGAAAGGAAAGUAAAUACAUAGUUUAUAAGAGAGGUAAUAAAAGACAUUCAGAUGCCUGAAGGCCAACUACUACCUUGAAAGCUCCAACAAACAUACCAGUCAAGCAAGUUAAGGUGCAUGUGCAGUAGGUGAGAGUACGAUCCACUUGUACACAGAAGGUAUCAUAGGUCGAUCAAGCAAAGUAUAAAAUAUAAAAUAUAAAAUAUAAAAUAAGGGAACAUCACCUGCAAUCAGAAAAUAUCUCACAAUAGUAGCUCACACCGCUUGCACUAAAAGUUCUAACAGAUAUAUAACACAUAUAUAGCAACAACAUCACCAGGUAGAACACAAGUAUACAUUUUAUCACAUACAUAUUGGAACAAGGGAUAAUAUGUAUAUACGAGAUACUUAGAUACAAUUAAUAAAAAAUAGAACAAAUAUUUGUAUGAGAAGUCUAUAUAGCAAUUCAAUCUCAACACAAAUAAAAUAAAGAAGUGCAAUGUAUAAGAUGAUGAUAAUGAUGCACGAGGCUGUCACACAACCUCCAUAUACACCCACGGAGGAAAAUUUAUCGACGUAGGAACCAUGGAGGAUUCGUCAACCCAUAUAAAAUCCAUAUAUACCCAUAUCCAUAUCCAUAAUCCUCCUCGACUCAUCUCUCGGGGAGGUUUUAUAAGAUGUCAUAUUUUCUGUUAUACAAAGGUAUUGUCAGUGUUUCUUAGGUGUUUCCAUGGUGGUACUAUUUAUUUCAUCAAUUAGUAUAAUAUGAGGAUGAAAUGCUCACAACCAAUCAUAAUGAGUAUUUCAACAACCAAUCACGUGAUAUAUUUCCAUAAUGAAUCACAAUGAUACAUUUCCAUAACCACGUAAGCCAAUAUUCACUUAUUAUUUUCAUUCAUUCAUGAAUGUCCACAUGUUUUCAUAUGCCACAAAUAUGAAUAUAUAUCACAAUACACCAGAGGUACAACAAAAAGGCAUUUGCAAUCGCACAAUACAAUUAUUCACAUGUAUUCAAGGCUAUCAAAAUCAUAUAGGACCUUACACGGUUAUACAUAUCACUUAAGAUUCUCAAUUUUAGCAAUUACAUCACAUAUAGGCCCUCACACAGGCAAUACAUAUAGAUCGUGAUUUUUCAAGAUUAGUUUUCACCCUUAAUAUGCAUUUUGUACCAACAUUUGCUACCCUGAUUAGUUUCAAAGAGUAUAGAAUCUAUGUAUCAAAAUAAAGAUAACAAUAUCCAUAUUUCCUAAUUUGGUUUGGGGUCAAAGCGGAUUUUCAAAAUGAAUUUUCAAAAAAGAAGGGCAAAUUCAUAACUUUUCUUCAAAAUGUGUUUCCAUAUUUCUAGAAAUCUAUAGUUGGAAACCCAAGUCAAAUCAAGUCAAAAUUGAGGUUCAAAUUGAAGAAAAAAUAUUUCUAAGCUUUAUUAGGUAAAAUCUUUGAAAUCUGUAUUAAAAUCAAGGAUCGAGGUUGUUUUGAAGGUUAAAUUGAUAAAAAAACUAGUAAUUACAGGAUUAAAAUAUUAUUCAAGUAAAAAAAGGUGAAAUUGUGGUUUAAAAUCAAGCCCUAAGAUUUAGGGGGUUUUGAGAAAUUAAUCAAGAAUUAGAGUAAGAAAGGAUGAAAUCUCACCUUCCCUAAGAUUUAGGGGGUUUUGAGAAGUUAAUCAAGAAUUAGAGUAAGAAAGGAUGAAAUAUCACCUUAAAUCUGUAAUAGAAUCAAGAAAUAGAUGUUAAUAUACCUCCCAUCUGUAACGCCCUCAGACUUCACCCUGGGCAUCACACAAUGCCUACGACCUCGAAGGACCACAAGCAACCUAUGAUGGGUACCUGCUGUGAGCACUAAGUAAUAAUAAUGAAAACUUAUGCCGAAGUAAAAUUGAAAAUGCCAUAAAAUUCAUAAAAUUGAAUCAAUACUGAGUACAUUUGUAGAAUAACUGCUAACUGAUAAUGUCUGAAAGCCUCUAACAUAUCUGAAAUAAAAGAGUUAAGGGGACAGACCCCAACUAACUCGCAACUGCUAUCUGAAAUAACUGAAAUAUUGAAAGAAUGCAAUGGCUAAAUAUGUAUCGCGUCCUUGAUGGAUGAGGACUCACUACAAUAACUACUUAUAAUCCACUGACCUGGAAAAGUACGAUCAGGAACCCGAGCGUUUGGACCUAUGAUAUAAGACAUCAUAGCACAAAAAGAGAGUAUGUGUCAUGUCAGUACUUUGAAUAUACUGGUAUGCUAGGCGAGGUUAGGCUAAUAUGAAUGGAUUCAUGUAUAUGAAUAAUAAUAACUAAAUAUCAUGAAGUGACUGGAUGAGAGAAAAUGUUAGACUGGGACUACUGAAUAUAAGGAACAUGUAAUGACAAGGAUAUAUCAUCUAUCUGAUUUAGACUAUAACUGAAGUACUGAGUUUCUGAUAACUGUAAGUUAUGAUCAUGUAGAACUAAACUGAGUUCUGUACUAAAUGUUGAAUACUGAAUACUGAAUACUGGAACUAAACUGUGGGAGUUAUAUCUAACCAAUAUAUCCUGUGUAUAGACUGAUUUGGGAUCCAACCUGUAACCCUAGUUGGAAAGGUGUUAGCACUGUACCACGAGUUACUAACACUGGUUGGGUCAACCCUAAUUUGGCAGGAAGACUGAUGAGAUAUAUAUGGUUACGUUAACCCUAGUCUAGUAGGAAGACUAUUUGCCCUAAAUUGGCUAUGUAGUUCUAUAACUCAAGGACUGCUACUAAGGGUCAAACCCUAUAUUGGCAGGAACCCUGGGUUCACUCGGUGCUAAAUCCUACUCCCAACUGAACCGACAAUGAUCACUAGACUGUACUAAGCUUGACUGAACUCAUGUUGAUUCUGCUAACUGACCGAAUGCUACUAUUCGGGAUACUACAAAAUCAUUCUAUUAUGAUUGGAAAAUAAGUAAGAAUCUAGUUUUGGGUAUACAAUACCCCCAGGACUCGAUAGCAUAAAUAAUGGAACCAUAUCAGAAGUUUAAAAAGCAUUACAAUUAGGAUAUCAUGAACAAUUUGUUCACAUAGACAUUUUUUCAAACACUUGGGGAGCAUAGUUCUUGUACAUGAGAAAUAAUAACAUGGGGAUAUCUUGAAUAAAACAUUCAACUUACAAUUCAUGGGUUAUGGCAUGAGGAGUACAUAAGUCAACACACAUGCUAGUUUGUUUGCUUGAAAUUCAUAAUUUUCUUAGUUUAAAAUCCAUAAAAUCAACACAUACAUGAACACAAAUUCAAUUCAGUAAUGUAAUUCAUAAUUUAAAUUCUCAAAAAUGAUUUUUGAACUCCAAGGGUGGAAGGAACCCAAGAAUGAAUACCAAACAUACCUUGAUUUAUGAAUUGGUGAGAACUGAUGGUGAAUUCUUGAGAUUUGAUCUUGAAUCUCGAAGGCUAGAUUUUUUUCUUGAAAGAGGGCUACUUUAAUUUGAGAGGAGUGUGAAAAUUUUAGCAAAUAAUGCUCUCUUGGGAGUUAAUCCUGUAUUUUGAUUAAAUGAGGUGAAGGAAAAAAACGUAAAUGCCCUUGACAAAUUAAAACUCAAAACUAGACUGGAAAUCUCGAUUUUGGCUUUCAGUGCGAUGCGGUGCAACCACGUUGGGCCACUGGAAAAGGGACCAUCUUGAAUUUACCCAGCGGCGCGACGCGGUGAAAUCGCAUUGAGCCACUGGGAACGGACAAUUCCAAAAUGGCACCUUGGCGCAAUGCAGUGCCAAUCAUUGUGCCUCACUGGAAAGUGAUAAAUGCGAAAGUUCCCCUUGGAGAUACGUGGUGCUUAUCAUGGUGACACACUGGAAAAAGACAAACAUGAUUUAGGCCAUCACCGUAAUGCGGCCAUAUUGAGUUGGGCUAUUAUUUUUUACUAAAAGUGCCAUAACUUCUCACUCGAGUAUCUGAUUUAGGCAAAAUUGGUAUCGUUGGAAAGAUAAUUCAAAUUCCUACAAUUUAGUGGGUAUUGAGCUGAAAAAUUCUGAGUAUAAUAAAAGAUAUCCUUGUUUGAAUUUGACUAAAGCAACAUUCUUCUCAAAAAUUCAAUCGGCAAGGAAUAUUUUGAUUCAUCCAAUAACUGGGAGAUAUUUGAGGACUUAAUAUACAUCAACCUCACUCAUAAAAUUACCAACAAACUAUAAGGUAUUAUGAAUGAGCUUGGAACAUGGCACUAACAAUGGUUUGAAUUUUUGGGGUAUUACACCAUAAGCUUCACUUUUACGUUCUCACACCAUUUUAGGGUUUAACUCUCAAUAGAAAAUGUGAAAGAAUGAUCAAAAGAGGGCAAAAUGGCUAUUUAUACUAUACCUGGAUUACCAGGUAUUUUGUGCAUAAAUCGCACUCCCUGAGCCCGAUUUACCUCAUGAUAUAUUUUGCACAACCAAUCACAAUGAUACAUUUCCAUAACCACAUGAGCCAAUGUCCAUUUAUUAUUUUCAUUCAUCCAUGAAUUUCCACAUGUUUUCAUAUUCCAAAAGUAGAAAUAUAUAUUGAAAUACACCAAAGAUGACAUAAAAAAGCAUUGGCAAGCACAAAAUACAAUUAUUCACGUGUAUUCAAAGCUAUGAAAAUCAUAUAGGAUCCCACACAGUUAUACAUAUCAUGUAAUAUUCUCAAUUUCAGCAAUUACAUCACAUAUAGGUCCCACACGGGCACAACACAUAGAUAGCUAUUUUUAUAAUUAGUUCCUACCCUUAACAUGCAUUUAGUACAAACCUUUACUACCCAACUAUGUUUGAAAGAGUUAAGGCAUAACCUACCUCGAAUGCCGGAAUCGGUCUGCAAUAGUUCAACCACAAAGCCCUACUUCUCACGAAUGAUAUCGAAAUCAACUAAAAUCAAGAAUAUAUAAUCUAUUCAUCAAAACAAGGCUAAUGAUAUAUAUGUUGACUACUUUGGUUCAGGGUUAAAAUAGACUCCCGAAAUGGGUUUUUGAAAAAGAAGUGCAAAAUCAUAACUUUGCUUCAAAAAAAACUGUUUCCCAUAUUUUUAAGAAUCUAUAGUUGAAAACCCAAAAUAAAUUUCAUAAAAAAUGAGGUUCACAUCAAUGAAAAACUAUUUUAAUAUUUUAUCGGGUAAAACCUUUGAAAUUCGUGUUAAAAUAAAGAAUCAAAGUAGUUUUGAUGAUUAAUAAAGCAAAACUAGUAAUUAUAGGAUUAAAAUAUUAUUCAAGUGAAAAGGAGUGAAAUUAAGGUUUAAAAUCAAGCCCUAAGAUUUUUGGAGUUUUGAUAAAUUAAUCAAUAAUUAGAGUAAGAAAGGAUGAAAUCUCACCAUAAAUCCACAAUAAAAUCAAGAAAUAGAUGUUAAUCUAGUUUUCCAAGCUCCCACAAGCUUCACUUUUACAUUCUUAUACUAUUUUAGGGUUUAACUCUCAAGUACAAAGGUGAAAGAAUGAGCAAAAAGGGGGGCUAAAAGGGCUAUUUAUACUAUACCGGAUUUACCAGAUAUUUUGUACAUAAAUUGCACUCCCUAAGCCUAAUUUACCUUAUGUGCAUCAGGUUGCACCAGCAACCUAGUGCAUUAGAUUUUAUUAAGUCCCAACGGACUUAGAUGGGGUAUCCAAAAUUUGUUUAGAGUCUGAUAUACGCAAAUAAACUAUGCAACAAUACUAAAUUCGACACUUCGGACUUAGUGGCAAUAUCAAAAUUUUGAAAAACUAUUGUUUUCAUAGAAUUGACCACCAAAACUUGAAAUCAUAAUUUUUUAGAUGAGAGUCCAAAUGAAAUUUAAAAGCCAUAAACCAACCCAAAUAUGUUACCAUCCUAAAAUCGACAUUUUGAAUGUGUUGGCAAAGUCGGAUUUUCCAUCCUAGGUCGUUUCGACCAAAUAUAGGCACCACACUCAUAUUUUUAAUUUUUCAACUUUCCAACCAACAGUUCAAAAUGAGCUUGGGUGUAUCAGGACAUGAAACAAAGGUCUGCCUAGCCUAAAAUCGGUAUUUUAAAACUGUUGGCACACUCCAUUCAGCCAUCAAUUGCACGAAUCAAAAGAUAACCACACGGGUUCAUAAUAAGGUUUUUAAAGCCACCAAAAAUAAUAAUAUCAUAUCCAAGGUACCAAAAUACAUCGGGAAUCAUGUCAAUUACUCUCACACCCCAGAAGUACCACAGUGCAACUAUAGGAAGGGAAUAAAACAAUCAAAUCAUAAAAAAUCACAAAUUUCACAUAUUUUAUCAAAUUUUAGGUCGUUAUAUGUGGGUUUAUAAUUAUUGUGCAUGUUGUACACCUUAUAUUUUUGACAGCUAUUGUCUUGGGGUAUUUAGCCAUUCCUCGAUACAUGCAGCUAACAUAGAUUGGGAUCUUUUAGUAAGGAAAACUAGACCCAUAUUACCUAUGGGUGCUUGGAACGUCGGUAUAAGCUACAUAGUUCAGGCUUAUGUUUUUGAACGAUUAUGUUUCAUGUUUUUUGCACUUAUCCCAGCAACUUAUAUACAUGUGUAAUAGUUUUAUAUGUUGAUUAUGAUUGGAUUUUUGGUAAAUUCAUAAAUUUUAUCCCUUUUCUUUGGUUGCAUUCCAGUGCUCUCCGUACUAACCAUCUCCAAAUGCUAUAUCAUUUCAUGAUGUAGGUUAUGAAGGCUUUUCUUGUAACCCUAUAUAGCAUUUGGUAGUUUGAUACUCUUAUUGGGAAGUUGUUGAAGUGAUGAGCCCUUCCUCAUUAAAAAGACCUAGUCUUUUUCAAUUAUUUAUGGUUUUAGUACUUUCUUUUGGUUUUCUUCUAGGAUAGUCGGGGUCAUGUCUUGAAUUGGCUAGUGCUUCUUGGUUUAGAGUCUUUAUGGAUAGUAAUAGGGUAUUUCCUUAUGGAUUUGAUGUUGACUUACAAAAUUUCUCUUUUAAUUAUUAAAUAUCUCUUAUUUUUCUGAUUAGCUUCCACAUUUUAUUUUAUUGUUACUCUCUUGAGAUAAGGUUAAGGGGAUCAUCUCCAGCCUUAUUAGCUUGGGAUACCUGUCAUGGUUAAGCCUUGGUUAGAGUUGUGAUAAGCUUGGUAUCAUAGCACGGUUCAGGAUCGUUGGGUGUCCAUAAAGCUUUGUCGAGUAAAGUCCCUUUUAUGGGUAUGUAAUACACCAUACUUAUAGGGGGGAGGACAUGAGGCAUUUAGGAAAUAUUUAUCAUUCUUUCAUACUCUAUAUUGUGCAAUUGUGUUGUCCAUAUGAAAGUUAUCCAAUUUCUUUCCUUUUUUUAAUUUUGUUUGAUAUGUCUCAUCAUGUGAUCCUUUUAGAAUGAGUCGUCAAAAGUUAUGAAAUGACACAAGGAUUUGAAAGGAUUCCAUUAGUGUGUCGAAGUGUUUUGAUUUAAGUGUAUACCUCUAUCUUCAUGAAUCGUGCUUUUCAGCCCAAGGUAAGAUGUGUAAUUUUCCCUUUCAAAAACUUUAUUGAAGAAGUCUCAUUUAAGAGGAAGGAUACAUAUCCGAAUAUUGGGUUAUUAUUUCUAUCCUAGAGGUAGUAUAAAUUGGGAUGUUAUGACCUAUGAGUAGUUAGAUGAUCUUGAGGUUAGUGUAUAAAUUUUUUUGCAAAAUCGGAGAGAGGGUAGCUUUUCAGUGAAAAAGGGUAAUUGUAUUUGUAUGACCUUUAAGUGAGUGUUGGGGAUUGUAUGCCUUUAUUGUGUUGGUUAAGUUUUACCAAAAAUUAGAGAACUUAAUGAUAGUCAAUAGAAAAAGAGUGGUUAGUUAAAAUAUUUAUGUAUUUAGUUGAAAUAGGAAAGGUGCUUAUGAUUACUAGUUAUUGCAGUAGUCAAAUUAAUCAUAGAUUGCAAAUAGAAGGGUAAAUUGUCUAAUAAUUUAUAAAUUUGUCAUUUAUUUGGGGAGAUCUUAAAUAAAAAAAGGGGAACUCAGUGAUUUUUAUAGAAUCUUAAAGAUAGUUGGGAUGUAUGCAUGGGUAAGCAGAUGUGAUGUAAGGGAGGCGAAUGUCCUAUAGACCAUAAUGGGUUAGGUUAUAAGAUUAAGAUCAACUAUACUUAUUAUGUGGCUAUACCAAUUGAUAUUUUUUAUAGUAUUUAUAAACUAGCAUAGUAUUUGAGAAAAUGUAUAACGAAUAUUAAGGUGUGAUUGUAAUGUUGUGGAGAAAAAUACACUUGUGGGACAUAGGUAAGUUAAAUAUGAAAUUUAGGUUGAUUUCUAUAUUUUAUGGACUAGUAUAUUAGGCGAGAUAUUUCAUUGGUGGUACAUGAUAAUUUCUACACACUAAGUUUGAACUUUAGAUGUUGAUUAUGGUGAUAGAAUGUUAGCUCAGGAGUUGUGAUGCAAUACUUGUGGGAGUGAAUUAAUAGGCUUGAUAUAAUGUGUGAAAGAUCUUAGUUUGAUGACUUAUGAAAUAUUGGAGUAGGUAAUUGUGAUAUACGCAUGAGGUUAAGUGUUGAAGUAGAAAUGAUGGCGAAAUCAUUAGAUGGAUAAGAGCCUUAAGUUGUAAGGAUAAAGUGUACUCAGUUUUGAGUUAUAAGUGCUAUGUAUACCUAGUUUAUGUUCAUGUAUACUAUGUCAUUAGGCCCAUGAAUCCAAAGAACACCUUUUUGUGAAAUUUCACUUUACAACUCAUGUACGGACCAAGAUUCUAACUUGGUUGCACAGACAAUCUGUAUAGUGAAUUUUGUGCGAUAAUUAUUAGAAUUGGGCCAUUGACAGUACAAAUAGAAGAUCACAAGAAGCACUAAUAUUUAGAUUGGUGAUUCCUAAAGUUGUGUACGCAGUGUGUAUGGAAAGAAAUAUGAGGAUUUUUGAGUAGAUAUUUCGAGAAAGAGUUAGUUCUACAAGGGAGAUAGCCUAUAGUUCAAAUGUUAAAGCUCCAAUUGGAGAACAACCACUACUUUCUAGUUUUUUCUUUUGAUUCAGCGUAGAGUUGUAUAGGUGUUUCCUGUUAGAUCUAUUUAGGAUAGUAAUCUAAGAAUAAAUUGUUAUGGUUUUGUAACGAUUGCUAUUGGUGAUAAUAAAUAACAUUAGUUGGCAAAAAAUAAAGCUUGGUCAAAUAGUAAUUGCUGCUCAAAAGUGUUUUUAAAAUUUAUUGGUCAAAAACAAACUCAUUCUUACCCAAAGUACUUUUUUGAAAAAUAAUUAUGAAGAAUUAAUUUUUUGAAAAGCUAAAUUUAGAAGCUUGAUUAAAUAGUCUAGAAGUCUUAGUAAAUGAUUUGGAGAACAAGUAAUUAAACCUAAUAAUCACACAUGAAAAAAAUAAUUAUCUUUUAGUUAUGAAAUAUUAAGCAAGUACAAGAAUAAAUAGAGAGAGAAGAGACUUCUUUAUUUCUCUUUAGAAACCAGGGAUGAUUUACAAUGAAGAGAACUCCUAUAUUUAUAGGAGAAAUUUCUCCUAAUUUCUCUCCAAAAGAUGGACUUUCCAUUUAUUGAUAGAUACUCAAUAUAUCUUGAUAGAUAUUCACUAUAUCUUUAUUAACAUUCACCAUUUAUAACUCUCUUCUUGAAUAUUUAAUUGAUAGAUAAUGUGUCUCAUUAAAACCUUAAUUAAAAAAAUCUAGUGAAGAAAAAAGAGUACACAUCUCUAAUAACACGUAUUUUGGCUGUCUCAUUAAAAAUCUUACUAGAAAAAUUCGGUGGGAAAAAAUUUUAAAAGGUAAAAGAGUACAAUGCGUAUAACCUCCCCCUGAUUAGAAUAUCAAUUCAAAAUCUCAAAUCUUCGUAUUCCAAUCUUGUGCACCGCUGUAACACCCCAGGUUUUUGGCUCUUGAAAAUUUCUAAAAUGUUAUUCUCACUGUACUAAUUGCGACUCCCCUUACGAGUUGUAAGGAUUCUUGACCAGUCCUAGGGACCCAAUCAUAUCCUAAAUAGUAUGUGCGGGGCCGAGCUCUAUUUUGAGUAUGAGUGGCUCACUAAGAGUUGUGGUGUGCAAAUCAUAGGUUGUCCAGUGUAUACCCCAAAUGGUUUUUGUGUUGACUAUGACUGGACCCUACGAGUCGUAGGAUCUCACUUUGGAUGAUGGUAUGCAAGUUGUAAGGUCAAUAGUGUAUGUGUCAGGUAAGACUGUCUUCGCAACGAUUCAUGAAAAUGAGUCGUCAUAAGACCCGUAAUAAUCGACGUUUAUUUUCCAGCAUUCUAAUGGAGGUAUUUUAUACAUUUUCCUUUUAUUCCAAUAAUAACACAUGACCUAUAAACAUACUUGGUGCCCUAUUUUCAUUGAUAACACACCCCAAAAAUUCUUUCUUCUCUCUCAAGUAUCUCAAGCUUUCGUACUUAGGAUUUCCAAGAAGUAGGUCAAGGAGAGAUUUAAGGGUUGAAUUCUUUACACAAAUUUGAGUAUUCCACGGAUAUUAAUCUUCCCUAAUUUUUAAUUUGGUAAAAGCACAGGUUUUAAAGUGUUGUUCAUAUGAUAUUUAUGUUGGUUUUAAAAUACGGGUUGAGGGUUUUGAAUAACUGUUGUUUAUGUGAUGUUUCAUGUUUGUCCUUAUAAGGGUUUCGUUUAAAUGGUGGUUUAAAAAUAAAUUUGAUGCAUGGUUAUGUUGAAUAAACUAGGGGAUUGUGAUUUCCCUCAACUUGUGACUUUUGAAGUGGUAAUGACCCUAGCCUCAUAUUGUGAAAUUGGUUUUUAAUAUGAAAAGUAUGCAUAUUGAACUACUCUUAAACUAUUGUAUAAAGUGAAAAGUCAAUGAAGCAUAAUAAUUUUAAAUUUAACCUUAUGGAGUUGUAUAAUUCCCUAAGCUGAUAUGUAAUUGAACUAAUGGGGCUAUGAAUUUCCCCAAAUAAUGAAAUUAUUUCGGCAUGUUGAUGUUAACUUGCAAGUGUAGUUGGUAUGAAGAUAUCAACAAUGUAUGCCAAAAUGUCUAUCAUGGUUUAAUGAAUGAGAAUGUGUGUUAAAAGUUUUAAUUAGGCUUUAAUGAUGGUUGUGCAUAUGAGUUGUGAAAGUGGAUGUCUCGAGGGACAAAUAUUGGAAACUAUAGUUGAUGAUGCAAGGUCUAUAUAACCGGGUGGUUCGAGCCCCUCUUAUUAUUAUUAUCAUAUGAUUGAGAGGUUUGAGUCCCCCAUAUUAAACUAUAUGAUUGGGUGCUUGUGUCACCUUGAUAUGCCGAGAGUUUUGAGUCCUACAUAGUGCAUAUGUAUACCUUCUAGUUCAUGCAGCCAUACGCACUGAGGCCCUACUAGAUAGGGGAGAGAUAGGCCUAUAUAACCUUUGGGUGCCUUAUUAUGUUAUAAAGAUUAAGCUACACAAUCCAGGCUAAAGUUUUAAAGGUUUAUGCUAAGCCUUGUCCCCUACCCCGACACAUGAUAUAUAUAUAUAUAUAUAUGUGUGUGUAUAUGUGUGUGUGUGUGUGAAUUUGCAUAUAAUUAUGUGAAUUGGAUUUUGGACUAGUUUUAAAUUGCUAUCCUUGAAAAUAUUUUAUCCCAUAUCCUUGAGUUACAUGCUAGCGCUCCAACUGCUAACCGUCUCCAAACAUUGUAUCCUCAGGAAAUAUAGGUAUCAGAGAUACCUUUACUUUUCCUGCACAGAGUUAGGUGGAUUGGCUCGAUUCGUUGUGGUAAAAUGCUAAGGUUCCAUUCUCUAGAAAAUUUAGACAUUUUAUCAGUUCUUAUCAUAUAUUAGAAGUGAGAGUUUUCAUUAUCAUCAAUUUUAUCAUUGUCAUUGUCAUCUGUUAGAGUCGGAGAUAUGUCCUGACCAAGACUGAUUUUGGUUUUCUUUGCAUAUAGGCUUUAUUGGAUUAGUGUCGACUUGGGUGAUGUGGUCAGUUGAUUUGAUCGGUUAUCAAUUACCUGUUAUAGAGGUAUAUUAAAUCCCUUGAGCUUGUCUUAUGAUAUAUUAUUGUAUGUCCAAAAUUAUUUUGAUAUUAGGGAUAUUGUGUUUUGUUUGGCUUGGUGCAGGGGGUGAUCUCCGGUCCUCUGUGGAAUUGAGGUACCUUUCAUGGUCAGGAACUGGUUCGAGUCAUGACAAAGUUGGUAUCAGAUCCUACGUUUGGUGUCACUAGGUGUCUAUAAAGUUGUCAAGUAGAGUCUUUUUUAUAGAUGUGUAGCACGCCACACUUAUAAGGGAGAGGCUACAGGGUAUAUUAGAAUAUUUUCCUUUCUUGUUGUUUUAUUUCUAGCUAUAGAGUCUAAGGUCUUGAAUCUCCUUUAUUCCCCAUAUAUUUUCUUUUCAGAUCAUACCUCCAAAAAAUUUGAUUCUCCCCACAGUACGUUUGACUCUUCGUCCUACUCAAGAAGUUCAGACUUGGUCUAGGGUCUCUGUUUUUGAUUGCCCUAGUGUAUCUCAAUCGGUUUCCCCUAUCCCUCCCCAGGCACCUCAAUCUAGCAUGUCUAAUGUUGAGUUUCACCAAUCGAUUCAUUUGCUUACCCAGUUAGUGGCCUCUUAGAGUAAGCAUGUUUCUUCUGUUGCUUCAUCUUUUGAGGCCACUAAAGUUGGCCAAUUUAUUAGGUUGAGUCUGCCUACUUUCACUGGUUCAAGAGUUGAGAAAGAUCCCCAAUAUUACAUUGAUGAGAUGGAAAAAUAUUAUCCUGUGAUGUAUUCUACUAAUGUGAAGGGUGUGGAGUUCAUUGUUUACCAAUUGAAGGAUAUGGAGUAUUAGUGGUAUGAGGAUUGGGACUAGUCUAGUGGUGAUGAUGAUGCGUCUGCUUUGUGGGAUGAUUUUUCUAGUGCUUUUCCUAAUCGCUUCUUUUCUUAGGAGUUGAGAGAGGUGAAGGCUAAGGAAUUCUUGAAUUUAAAGCAAAGCAGGAUGGCUGUGAAGAAGUGAGCCCUAAAUUUUAACCAGUUGUCUUACUAUGCUCUGGGUUGGUGUCCUCUAUGAGAUCUCGAAUGAUGAAAUUUUCUUUAAGAUUAUCUCGUAAUUUAGUGUUGAAUGCAAAGUUACUCUGUUGAAUAGAGAUAUGGAUAUCUUUAGGUUGGUGAUGUACAUGAAAUAGGUUAAGGAGGAGAAGAAGAAAUAGGUUGACAUAAGUGAAAGGUAGACUAAAAAGUUUUGAUAUUCAGAUUAGGGUGGAGGUCAGCAGCAGAGUAGUAGAGAUGGUGGAAAAUAGUCUAAGAAGAAGUGGGGAAAAUUUGAUUCCUACUCUAUGGGUAGUGCUUCGUAACCUAAGCCAUUGGGUGAUUAUCAUUUUUAAAAGUGUGGGUCCUAGGGCACAGGGUGCCCAACCUUAGGCUAGUGGGGCUCAGUCAGCUCCAUUAUAUCCCGCUUGUAGAUUUUACUGUAAUGUGCAUCGUGAUGUUUGUGAAGAGGGAAGGAACAAGUGCUUAAAUGUGGUCAGAUUUGUUAUAUAUAGACGGAUUGUCCUUCUAAGGUUUAUUUUAGGGAAAAUAAGAUUCCUGUUGCUACUUCAUUAGCUCCUGCACCAAAGGGUGCUACUUCUGUUUCUGGCUCCUACAUUGGUCGAAACCAUUUGUAUGCUUUUUCCACUCUCCAGAAUUCUGAGGCAUCCCCCCAUUGUUGUUACUGGUACAUUCAAACUCUUCUCCCGUGAUAUAUAUUCUAUACUUGAUCCAGGUUCUACCCUCUCUUAUGUGACCCUAUAUAUGGCUAUCCAUUUUGGUUUUGACCUUGAAUGUAUUCCAAAUCCCUUCUCUGUAUCCACCCUGGUGGAUGACUCCAUUAUGGCUAGAAGGGUCUUAGGGGUUGUAUGAUGUAGGUCUAUGAUAGGUAGACCUUGGUGGAUUUGAUAUAGUUGGAUAUGUUAGACGUUGAUAUGAUUUUGGGGAUGGAUUAAUAGCAUUUGUGCUAUGCGUCUCUUGAUUGUAAGACCCGAAGGGUCAGUUUCCAUUUACCAAAUGAGUUGAUGAUUGAAUGGGAAGGUAGUUCCCUAGAACCUAAGGAAAAGUUUAUUUCGUAUUUUAAAGCCCGAAAAUUAGUUUCUAAAGGAUGCCUUUAUCACUUAGUGCGUGUUUAGGAUCCUUGAUCUGAAGGUCCUUCUUUGCAAACUGUCUCUAUGGUUUAGGAUUUCCUGAGGUGUUCCUUGAUAAUCUUCCUAGUGGUUCUCCCAAUAGGGAAAUCAAUUUUGGGAUUAAUCUUCUUUUAGACACUCAUCCUAUUUCUAUCCCCCCUUACAAAAUGGCUUCGGCUGAGUUAAAAAAACUCAAGGAGCAAUUGAAAGAUCUUUUUUACAAGGGUUUUAUCUACUCUAGUAUAUCUCCGUGUGAUGCUCCUGUUCUAUUCGUGCAUAAAAGGGAUGGGUCCCUUUGGAUGUGUAUUGAUUAUCUCCAACUAAAUAAGGUGACCAUGAAAAAUAAGUAUCCCCUUUCAAAGAUUGAUUAUUUGUUCGAUUAGCCUUAGGGUUGUAAGUUCUUUUCUAAGAUUGAUAUUCAAUAGUGUUACCAUCAGUUGAAGAUUAGGGAGGUGGAUAUCGCUAAGACUACUUUUCAAACUCGAUAUAGUUAUUUUGAGUUCUUAGUAAUGCUCUUUGGUUUGAUUAAUGCCCCGAUAACGUUCAUAGAUCUUAUGGAUUAGGUAUUCCAUCAUUUCUUGGAUUUAUUUGUGAUCGUGUCUAUUGAUGAUAUUUUGGUGAAUUUUAAAAGUAAGGUAGAUCAUGUCGAUUACCUCCGUUUAGUAUUGCAAACCCUUAAGAAGCAGCAGUAUAUGCUAUUCCCCAAGUGUGAGUUCUGAUUGAAUAUUGUCACUUAUUUGGUUCAUGUUUUUGUAGUGAAUGGAUCAUGGUAGAUUUACAAAAGGUUGCGGUGGUAAAAAUUUACCUAGAUCCAUGAUUCCUACCAACAUUCAGAGCUUCUUGGGUUUAGCUAAUUAUUAUAAAAUGUUUAUGAAGAGUUUCUCUUCUAUUGCUACCCCAUUAACUAAGUUAACUCAGAAGAAGGAGAAAUUCUUAUGGUUUGAUGCUUGCGAGGAUAGUUUCAAGAAGUUGAAGGAUAAGUUGACUUUGACUCUGGUAUUGACUCUACCUAAGGGUACUGCUAGUUUUGUGGUAUAUUAUGAUGCAUCCUUCAUGGGACAGGAUUUUGUAUUGAUGCAACAUAGUAGAGUUGUGUCCCAUUCCUUUAGACAAUUGAAAGUUUAUAAGAAGUACUACCGGACUCAUAAUUUGGAAUUGUUAUCAAUGGUAUUUGUAUUGAUGAUCUUGCGACAUUAUUUGUAUGGGGUCUAUGUUGAUAUUUAUUCUAAUCCUAAGAGACUGCAAUACAUAUUCACUCAGAAGGAGCUAAUUCUCAGGCAAUGGAGGUGGUUUGAGUUGCUCAAGGAAUAUGACAUAAGUCUUCACUAUCAUCCAAGUAAAGCUAAUGUGGUUAUUGAUGCUCUUAGUAGGUUAUUCAUGGGAAGCUUAUCUCAUGUGGACGAGGAGAAGUGAGAUUUAGUGAAAGAUCUUCACCGUUUGGCUAUUCUUGGAGUCUGUCUCUUAGAUUAUGAGGAUGGUGGUGUGAUUGUUCAAGAGGUGACGAAGUCAUCUCUUGGUACUGAGGUGAAAGAGAAACAAAUGUUGGAUCCUAUCUUGAUGCAACUCAAGGAGGAUGUGGUUAAGCAGAAGGUGAUGUCUUUUGAGAUUGGAGGUUAUGGUAUCUUGAGGUACCAAGGUAGAUUAUGUGUUCCCAAUAUUGAUGGGUUGUGAGGAAGAAUUUUGGUUGAAGCUCAUGAGUUGUAAUAUACUUUUUAUCCUGGAUCAACAAAAUAUAUCAUGAUCUUAAGAAAAUUUAUUGGUGGAUUAAUAUGAAGUGGGAUGUGGCCAAUUUUGUGGCUAGGUGCAUGGUGUGUCAGCAAGUGAAGGUGAAGGACUUGAGGCUCAGUAGGUUGACCCAAGAUAUUGAGCUACCGUUGUGGAAAUGGGAAAUAAUUAAUAUGAAUUUUGUUACUGGUCUUCCGCAGUCUCACUAAUAAUUUGAUUCGAUUUGGGUCAUCGUGGAUAAGAUGACUAAGUCUACUUACUUCUUGCUAGUGAGGACUAAUUUCUCUUCUAAGGAUUACGCCAAGUUUUUCAUUAGAGAUAUCGUGAAGUUGCAUCGUGCUCCAAUUUCCAUUAUAUCUGUCGAGGUACCCAAAUGUCAUCUCACUUUUAGAGGUCGUUCUAGUAAGGUUUGGGGACUAAGGUAACUAUAAGUACCAUUUGCCACCCACAGAUGGAUGGGCAAAUGGACAGAACAAUUUAGGCCUUGAAGGAAUGCUUUGGGGUUAUGUAUUUAAUUAUGGUAGUAGUUGGGUUGACCAUUUCCCCCCCAUAAAUUAUCCUACAACAACUAUCACUCUAGUAUUGGUAUGGCUCCAUUUGAGGUCUUCUAUGGUAGGUGGUGUAGGUAUCCUAUUGGGUGGUUUGAGAUUGGUGAAAGUAGGUUAUUUUUCCUUGAUUUGGUUCACCAAGCAAUGGAGAAGGUAAAAGUGAUUUGGGAUUGGCUUAAGACCGCCCAAAGUCACCAAAAGUCUUAUUCAGAUGUGAGGCAAAGAGAGUUGGAGUUCAAUGUUCAUGAUUGGGUAUACUUAAAGGUAUCUCCCGUGAAGUAAGUGGUGCAGUUUGGUAAGAAAAAAAAACUCAGUCCCCGAUAUGUCGGUUUAUACUUGGUUUUGAAGAGGGUUGGUAAUCUUGCAUUUAAAUUGGAGUUGCCUUCUAGUUUGAGCUCCAUUCAUUCAGUAUAUCAUGUUUUGAUGUUGAGAAAGUCCGUGGGUGAUCCUUCAACAACUAUUCCUUUGAAAAAAGUGGGUGUUUUAGAUUCGUUAUCUUAUGAGGAAGUCCCGAUUGAGAUUUUGGAUCAGCAAGUCCAUCAAUUGCGGAAUAAGUAUGUGGCUUCAGUAAAAGUUCCUUGAGUAAAGCUUCUUUGGAGGAACCAAAAGUUUGAAGAAGCUACUUGGGAAGACGAGGAGGACAUAAAGUCCAAGUAUUCAUUCUUAUUCUCUAUUCUAAAAAAAAAUCGUGCUUAAUGUAUGUGUGAUCUAAACAUCUUUAUUUUUUGUCUUUAUUAAAGGUGAGUGUGGGUGGUAUUUGUGUUAAAUUGUGCCAAGGGAUGCCUUGACCCAUCAUUCGGUGAUGAAUGAUCCUAAGAGGGGAGUAUGCGGCACCCUGAAUUUUUGGUCCUUGAAAUUUUCUAUAGUUUUAUACACUCUAUCCUGACUAAGACUCCUCUAACUAGUCAUAAGGAGUCUUGAAGGUCCCAGGGACCCAAUCGUAUCCUAAAUAGUGUGUGUGUAGCUGAAUUCUAUUCUGAGUACGAGUAGUUCACCAUGAGUCGUGGUGUGCAAAUCCUAAGAUGCCCAGUGUAUAUCCCAAAUGGGUUUUGUGUUGACUAUGAUGGACCCUACGAGUUGUAGGAUCUCACUACGGGUCAUGGUAUUAGAGUUGUAAGGUUAAUAGUGUGUGUUCUAGGUGACACUGUCUUGGAAACGACUCGUGGAGACGAGUUGUAAUAAGUCAUGACGAGUCGUCAUGAGACCCGUAAUGUCUGAAGGUUAUUUUUCAGCUAAUGAUGGUAUUUUAGACAUUUUCCUCUUAUCCCAACAAUAAUCCACGACCUAUAAACAUACUUGGGGCCCUAUUUUCAUCAAUAACACACUCCAACCAUUCUUUCUUCUCUCUCAAGGCUCUUGAGCAUUCAUACAUAGGGUUUCCAUGAAGUAGGUCAAGAAGAGCUUCAAGGGUUGAAUUCUCUCCAUAAACUUGGGUAUUUCAAGCAUGCUACACUUCCCUAAUUGCUUAUUUGUUAAAAGCAUAAGUUUUAAAGGGUUUUUCAUAUGAUAUUAAUGAUAGUUUUGAAACAUGGGUUGAGGGUUUUGAAUAACUGUUUUUUAUAUGAUUUUUCAUGUUUGUUCCUUCAUGGGUUACGUCUAAAUGGGGGUCUAAAAUUCAAUUUGACGCAUGAGUAUGGUGAAUAAACUAGGAGAUUGUGAUUUUCCUCUACUUGUGACUUUUGAAGUGGUAAUGACCCCAACCCCAUAUUGUGAAAUUUGUUUUGAAAAUGAAAAGCAUGCAUAUUGAACUACUCUUGAACUAUUGCAUAAACUGAAAAGUCAAUGAAGCAUAAUGAUUUUGAAUUGAACCUUAUGGGGUUGUGUGAUUCUCCAAGUUGAUGUGUAAUUGAACCAAGGGCUAUGACUUUCCUAAAUAAUUAAAUUAUUUCAUCAUGUUGAUGUUACCUUGCAAACGUAGUUGGUAUGAUGAUACCAACAAUAUAUGCCUAAAUGUGUAUCAUGGUUCAACGAAUGAGAAUAUGUGUUAAUUGUUUUAAUUAAGAUUUAGUGAGAGUUGUGUAGAUGGAAACCAUGGUUGCCGACGUGGGGGUCUAUACGACCGUGUGGUUUAAGUCCUCCUUAUUAUUAAUAUAUGAUUGUGAGGUUUGAUUCAAUCAUAUAAAAUUACAUGAUUGGGUGGGUGUGCCACCUUGAUUUGCUGGGAGGUUCGAGUCCCCUAUAGUGCAUAUGUAUACCCUCUGGUUCGACAAUCUAGGCUAAUGUUUUAAAGGUACAUGUUAACCCUUGUUCCCACCCCCAGCACGUGAUAUACAUAUAUAUACAUAUAUAUAAAGAUAGAUAUACAUCUAUACAUACAUAUAUAUAUCUAUACAUAUAUAUAUACAUAUAUAUGUGUGUGUGUGUGUGUGUGUAUAUAUAUAUAUAUUUGCAUAUAAUUAUGUGUAUUAGCUUUUGGACUAGUUUUGAAUUGUUACCUGUAAUAUCCCGUACAUUUCUAGUUCAGCUCAUCCCUUAGUACUUAUUUAAGACACUUAGAACCUGAAAAUAAAACUAAGUGUUGGGGAAUUAGUCUCAUUUUUGACCUCUUAAAUUCAACGAUUUUUAAGUUGACCUUACUGGAUCCAAGAUGAUAGUUUUUAAGUUGAUUCAUGUUCAGGGGUGUAAGGAGCAUGUCUCAGGGAAGUUUCGAAAUUUUUGGGUGAGGUAUGAGCUGUAAUUAAAUUGCAAUUCCAGUAGCUCAGCGCGAUUAGCCCGCGUCGCACUAGUAAUAGCAGUGAGACGGUCACUGCAUUGCUUCAAGCCCAUAAACGGCAUUUUAGUUGCGACUUUAAACCCCAGAAGGGCAUUUAGUUAAUUUCCCCCGACCCCAAGUCGUAAAAAUAGAAGAUUAGACAUUAUACUAAGCAAAUUAUCUGAUUUGCAUGUUAAACCCUUGAAAUUACAAUUUAUUAUUAUAUCCAUGAUGUUCAUGUGUUAACUAUCCACAUAUGAAAUAACCAUGCUCUCCAAGUGUUUGAUAGAAUGCCUAUGUGAAUUGAAUAGUGAAAUCAUUAUAUGUCAUCAUGUGGACCCAUUCAUGUAUAAAUUCAUGUAUCUCAAGUGUUUGACAAAAUGCCUAGGUGAAUAUAUUGUUAACAAGUAUUUAUUGUUAUGCUUUUCAAGAUCAUGUAAUGCUUUACUUUCCAUUCUUUCGAGUCCUGGGGGUAUUCAAUACCCAAAAAUCUAGUUGUUUACCUAGAGCUACAGUAGUUACAGAAUAGUAUCAGUAAUGUCAUGAACAGUAGUACUUAUUCAGUUACAAAACUUAGUGAAACUCAGUAUCAAUCCAGUUCAACUCAGUAUCAUAAAUAGUGUAUUCAGUCAGUUAACAGAACUCAGUGAACUUAAUACAGUUCAGUCAGUUAGCAUGAUCAACAACAGUUCAGUAAAGCCUAGUACAGUCUAGAAAUUAGUUUACUGCCUAUUCAGUUGGGAGUAGGAAUUAGCACCGAGCGAACCCAAGGAUUUCCGGCAAGCAGAGGGUUUGACCCUUAGUAGCAAUCCCUGUGUUACAGAAAUACGUAGCUAGCAUAGGUUGAAAUAUCUUCUUGCUUGAUAAAGAUUGAUACAUCUCGUACGAGUUUUCCAGCCAGUGAGGGUUGACGAAAUGUCUUCAUACUAGAUAGGGUUAACUCACAGCCAUUAUUAGUAUCUCUUGGCAAGGUGCUAACACCCUUCCAACUGGGGUCACAGGUUAGUCCCUAACUCAGUUUAUAAUCGGGGUAUGUCGGUUAGAUGAACACUCCCACAGUUUCAAUUUUAGACUCAAUAUAAACCUCUGAUCAAUUUUUAGAAUCAGGACUAUCAGACGUAGUCACCCAGCUCAGUAUGGAACUCAGUUUAGUUCUACAGAAUCAAGACUGUCAGAAAUAGUCACCCAGUUAUCAGUAACUCAGUUAUACAGUUACCCAGUUAUCAGUGAUCUCAGUUACAGUAAACUAGAUUCACACGCAACAUUGAAUAAUCAGUAUUUACAGCAGUUUCAAAUAUAUAUGUACUCUCAUUCUGUUAUAUUCAUGUUACUCACCUUGUUGUUGUUCAUGCAUAUGAACCCUUGUAUAUCAGCCUACCUCACUUAGCAUACCAAUUCAUUCAAAGUACUUACACAUACUUUUUUGCGCUGUGAUGUCUUAUAUCAUAGGUUCAGGCGCACGGGCUCUAAGCCAAACUUAGUAGGCCAUCCUAUCAGCAACAG